RNAcentral lists this ribosomal RNA (340 nucleotides) under uncultured bacterium. RNAcentral describes it as "bacterial SSU rRNA". It matches the Rfam family "Bacterial small subunit ribosomal RNA", at positions 335 to 665 of the family's 1533-position model. The record is from RNAcentral.
ACUCCUACGGGAGGCAGCAGUGGGGAAUAUUGCACAAUGGGGGAAACCCUGAUGCAGCCAUGCCGCGUGUGUGAAGAAGGCCUUGGGUUGUAAAGCACUUUCAGUAGGGAGGAAGGUAGUGUAGUUAACACCUGCAUUAUUUGUACGUUACCUACAGAAGAAGCACCGGCUAACUCCGUGCCAGCAGCCGCGGUAAGUACGGAGGGUGCGAGCGUUAAUCGGAAUUACUGGGCGUAAAGCGCAUGCAGGCGGCCUGUUAAGUCAGAUGUGAAAGCCCGGGGUCUUAACCUCGGAAUUGCAUUUGAAACUGGCAGGCUAGAGUCUUGUAGAGGGGUUAGAA